RNAcentral lists this unclassified non-coding RNA (539 nucleotides) under Hevea brasiliensis (rubber tree). Lineage: Eukaryota; Viridiplantae; Streptophyta; Magnoliopsida; Malpighiales; Euphorbiaceae. The record is from RNAcentral.
GUGUAUGCUUAAAGCCAGGCGACUCUGCCCAUUUAAAGACACCCAAUGCAGAUUCACAAUCAUACUUAAACCGAGAAAGCUGUAUAUCAUUACACACUUAACAGCGCACCCCCUAAAUUUAAAUAUCAUAUGUAAAAUUUACCCUAUUCUUUAGUUGAACGUCAAAGAAAAUUCACGUCUGUAAACGUAAUCUAUCUAAGACAUGUAAACACCAUGAAGACGAAGCACCACCAGCUCACACUUGCUAACAAUCUGCCAUACUCGCACUCCAUAACUAGUAUGUGGAAAGAAACUAAUGAAAUUUAAGGUUGAGCGAACACAAGGAAAGUAACCAAUAAAAUUAAAAUUUGAAACCACACAUACAUGUGAAGGCAGGUUAGUACUCCCAUCAAAAGACUAUUCAAGACUUAAAUGCCUUGCGACUCUAUUUGACACAACAUCCAUACAGAAUUACAGGUAAUAUCCCUCAUAAUGUUUUAUCUUUCUUUACACACCUCAAACAUCUUUUCAGAACACGUGAUAAGCUUUUUUUUUUUUUU